AUGAACUUAGGAGUGAAGAAGCGCAUGAGAAAUACGUACAAUCGAUUGAGGGAACGCGUUCUCCUCCCAGUCCUCAGCCUUGCUUUCCUGUUUGAAUCUCGCGACCUUUCCCGGUUUCAUCAAAGCCAGAUGCAGACGCCCCUAAGCCUGGGCGAGAUACACGGGAGAAAGGCCCACUUCAAAGGGAUCUUCCUCCUUUUAAUCAGUAAGAAAUGGAAGAAUGGAGAAAGAGCGCGUGCAUGUGUCUCCCGGCUGCAGGUAUUUUGGACACUCCCCAGCCCUGCCCCACGCCGGCCCUCAGCCUCAGUCCUGCAAUCCUGCAUACAAAUGGUGGGCUCUGGGCACCAGCUCCUCCCCAGGAGGAGAGGAGCAGGCAGGGGAAGCAGCUCCUGACAGGGAGGGCAGAUGAGGGCAGAGGAGGGGACAGUGUGUCCUGGUCCUUCCGUCCACCGCUGGGUUCCUCCUCCACCUAUUCCGGUCCUUCCACCCUUCAACAUCCACUCACAUCUGAGGAUCUGAUUGAUUGGCCAGCGUCGCUCCUGCUCGUACCCUCCAGAUGGGAACCCAACAAGGCAGGGAGCCAGGGUUAGGCCCAGAAACCUGCCUAGAACUUCAGCAUCCUGCCAGCCAGCUGUAGUGACCAACAACCCACCCAGGGCUGGCCGGGGCCACCUGGAGGCCCAGGUCUCUCCCGCUGAAGGGUGAGGGGGAGGAGGGAGACUCCUGGAUGUUUGCUUCAUCUCCGUCUGCCAGAGACCCCUUUCCUUUCUUGGCCUGGCUAAUUUCUACCGUCUCGAAAGACUCCACGGAGGGAGUGGAAGACCCCACGGAGACCCCACGGAGGGGCCACCUCCUGCGUGAAGCCUUCCUCAAUACCUGCCUCCCUCCUGGGCUGGCUCCGGCUGGGGACACCGGGAGGACACAGACAGGCUGCGGCUUGGCAAACAUGAGCUGAUGGAAAAGGAAAUGACUUGUUUGUGACUUCCUUGGUCUCACUUCUCCCUGGGCCCCGAAUCCUCUGCACCACCCAGGCUGUCUUUCAAAGAACAGCUCCUCUUUCUCUGCAUCUGUUGAAAUCAAGAGAUAAAAAUAAAGAACAGCUUCCUCAGCCCACUCACGGAGUGUGGGGAGGGGACGCAGUGUGCCGCUGCAUGAAAUACUCAGCGUUUGUGGUUUGAAGCCACUUGGUUUCGGAGUCAUUUGUGAGGCAGCAGCAGACGACUGAUAGCCCCUCCUCCUUUCACGGGUGUUCUCUCAAUCCAUCUUUUCCGUCACUUCUAAUCCUGUCAUGCCUUCAGCUCGUCAGACUGAAAAAACAGAGGUGUAAACAUAGUUGUCAAAACAACCAGUUCUUACUGAACACCUACCUGUGGGACACGCUUCUAAUCACGUCCCAUUUUAGUUAAUCCUGCAACCAUCCUGCGAGAGACUCCUACGGUUCCCAUCUUACAGACGGGGAAACACGCACAGAUGGUAACUCAUUUGAAUGUGGAGAGAGAAGUUAGAAUGGCAGAAACAGACGUGGUCACUGCCAGGGUUCUUGUUCUGGCUCUGCCGUGUGGCUUUGGACAAGCCAUUUCACACCUCCAGACCUCAGUUUAUUUUUAUUUAUUUAUUAUUUUUAGUUAUUAUUAUUAUUUUUUGAGACACAGUCUUACUCUAUCACCCAGGCUGGAGUGCAAUGGCCAUCUCAGCUCACUGCAACCUCCAUCUCCUGGAUUCAAGUGAUUGUCUUGCCUCAGCCUCCCCAGUAGCUGGGAUUACAGGCACUUGCCACCACGCCUGGCUAAUUUUUGUAUGUUUAGCAGAGACGGGGUUUCACCAUGUUGGCCAGGCUGGUCUGGAACUCCUGAUCGCAGGCAAUCCGCCCACCUCAGCUUCCCAAAGUGCUGGAAUUACGGGCAUGAGCCAGUGUGCCUGGCCCAGACCUGAGUUUCUUCAUGUUUCUAAAGCAGCAUACGUAACUACACACUACAUCACUGGACCCUGAGGUCCCUUUUAUGAUGGUAACAAGGAUAACAAUAAGGUAUCACUAGGAUUCUGAGAGUCAGACUAGUAAAACCAACAUAGACCAAUAGACCAGAUCACACACACAGAUCCAUACAUACGUGUGUGUAUGUGUACAUACAACACACAUGGCAACUGGAGUCAUUCUUUCCAUGGGGCCUAGAAAUAAGAAUGGAUCAAGCCCAUUCCACCUCCCUCAUCAAAUACAAAGUUCUCCUGAGACCCCGAGAAUCCUUCGCUGGGGGUGACGCUCUCGUACCACCUCCGGCUCCCAUGUCCCGCCUGUGGCUUCUUGGGCUCCACAUCCCUCAAGGCAUUUCUGCUUUGUCCUCUGUCCCUGCGUCAAUCCCGGUGUGGGACGUGGUGUUUCUCUUUGGUUUCUGCCCCCAUGCCCCAUCUCUGCGAGGCACCUGCCUGCUGGAGAGCCCUGACUGCGAUCUUCAGGCCGCUGGCCAUGCUGCGUGGCCAGCUGCUGCCUGUCGCCACGAGGUGGGCAGUCUCUCCCCCAACCCCCACCCCUGCUGCCUCCCGCCACAGCCUCCCCCAGCUGCUGCCUAGAUUACUGGAUAAAAUACAGGACCUUCAACCACACUGAAUUUCACAUAAGUGACAAAUCUUUAGAAUAAGCGUUCCCAAAUCUUGUAUGUGAUUAUAAUACUUUAAAAAAAUCAUCUACUGUUUAGAUGAAAGUAAAAUUUAACUGGAUAUUCUCUAUUUUUACUGGCUAGAUUUGGUUUUGUCUUCCUUUCCAAAGCUGUCCUCACCCUUCCCUUCCAGAUCAGCCCUGACCCUGCAGAUUUUGGCCACUCUAUAAGCUGGAGCAGUUCUGGUCUCCCCGGACCUCACCCCAAAACUCAGCCCAGGUCCACGCCUCUAUGUCUAAAUCCCUUGGGGACAUCUGAUCCUUUAUUAGUUCAGGGCACCCACAGUUUAUGUUUUUGUGUUUAAUCCCUGUAACCUGUUCCUUUUGUCCCUGUGUUGCUGGUAUGGUGUUUCUGUUGCACAGAAAGGCCUCCCGGGCUGACCUCAGGGUGUAGCAGGCCCUCAGUGCCUAGGCAGCAUCAGUUACGUGGACCAAGAAAGAAUGUACCUGAGAAGCCAAAGGAGGAAUGAGAAGCAGGGGCCUGGGAGGCUGUUCCCAGGAAGAAAGCCUGGUGGGAGGGCAGGGGCCUUGGACACAGGGACCCAGUUCCCCACCUCAGAGAGGCCUGGAACCCAUUCCUGGCAGGAGCCCGGCCUUGCCCGUUGGCUGGUAUUAGGGAGGGUGAGGGAAACCAGUUUCGUGGCCAGAUCAGUUUAGAAAACUUCCUGUAAAAUGGUGUUUGUUUCAGAGCUUUGACCAGGCCGAUGCACAUGUGAAUUUCCACAAGUGGGUGAGCGAGCAGCCUUCUGCAAGCUGCAUCAUCCACAGAGUCUUUUAUUUUCCUUUUUUUGGAAAAGCUGUUCAUACAAGAAGUUCGGCUUUGGGAAACGCAGCCUCACACCCCCCUCUCCCCUAAUCCUGUUUCUAGGCUCCUGUUUAAAGCUUUCCAGUUUGAGUCUUCAGAUAUCCAGAAGCUGUGAAGGGGCAGCCCGGUCACCAGACACAAGCCUUGCAAAGGGACAGCGUCCGUGGAAGACGGACAGACCCACACGGGGGAGAACAAAUCAACGGGCAAAGGAAGCAUCUGGCCAGCUGGGGAGUUCUGCCUUCCAUUUUAACUAAUAAACCGGCCUUCCGGUUUGUGCGUUGGUCAUCCUCCCGCGGGUCUGGCUGGCAGGCCUUGGUUUCUGAGGGGCUGGCUGCGUCUGGGGCCGGGUGGAGGCCUCACUCCUGGGCUGCCAGGAUGGGCCAAAGUGACCUUCGAUGGAGCAUCUCCCAACUCUAGAAUUACAGGGAUUUAUGAAAUGUGGAUCUUUCCUGAAUGUUAAAUUUGCUGAGGGCCAAAGCGGUCAACCAUCUCAGCAAUGGGCAGGGGCCAGAGGUGCACGAGGGAGGGAGGAGAGAAGUGAGGAGGAGACGCGGAGCGGUGGAUCGGGGCACGGGAGAUCAGGUCCAGGCCGGCGGGACAGGGGC
Molecule: long non-coding RNA, 4063 nt
Filed under: Macaca fascicularis (crab-eating macaque)
Lineage: Eukaryota; Metazoa; Chordata; Mammalia; Primates; Cercopithecidae
Description: lncRNA (ENSMFAG00000051584.1)
Source: RNAcentral